AACGGGUGAGUAACACGUGAGCAACCUGCCCUUCAGAGGGGGACAACAGUUGGAAACGACUGCUAAUACCGCAUAAGACCACGGUGUGGCAUCACACAGAGGUCAAAGGAGAAAUCCGCUGAAGGAUGGGCUCGCGUCCAAUUAGCUAGAUGGUGAGGUAACGGCCCACCAUGGCGACGAUUGGUAGCCGGACUGAGAGGUUGAUCGGCCACAUUGGGACUGAGACACGGCCCAGACUCCUACGGGAGGCAGCAGUGGGGAAUAUUGCACAAUGGAGGAAACUCUGAUGCAGCGACGCCGCGUGAGGGAAGAAGGUCUUCGGAUUGU
This 327-nucleotide ribosomal RNA is filed under the name uncultured bacterium. RNAcentral's name for it is "bacterial SSU rRNA". It matches the Rfam family "Bacterial small subunit ribosomal RNA", at positions 101 to 426 of the family's 1533-position model. The record is from RNAcentral.